Long non-coding RNA from Mytilus trossulus (common blue mussel), 1112 nucleotides. RefSeq lists it as uncharacterized. The transcript is spliced from 3 exons. The record is from RefSeq and is a predicted model, not a curated record. NCBI's taxonomy places the organism in Eukaryota, Metazoa, Mollusca, Bivalvia, Mytilida, Mytilidae.
GAUAAGAUUUAAGAAAAGUACAUAACUUUGUGGUGUUGGGAAACUUAUUUCCCUCACCAGGAGAUUGUUGCAUACAUGUACGGGUGAUCACUUCCAGACAGAGGUAGUUACAAUAUCUGUACGGGAAUGAGGAUUAUUUAUAAGACUGAAAUUAUUGUAUUAUUUGCUGGAAAUGUGGAAUAUGAGGAAUUUAAAGCCAUUCGUGAGUAGUUUUUGAUGAUUCAGCUGGACAAAUGCUGGAAAUUAUACAGUUUUCUCCCACCUUAAAACAGUACAUGGUAUAUCAUGGACACCAAAAGCAAACUAUAAAGAUCUAAAUGCCAUAAUUUUGUGCAUCUUGAAAACUGGAAAGGCGGAUCACUUUGAAGCAGAUGAUAGUGAUAGUGUUUAAAAGAAUUCUUUGCGACAGUUAUAGCAGUUGGAACAGAUAAAAGAUACAUCAGAUGACAGACUUACAUAUAGAGGAGCCUAUAAUUAGAGAAAUGGAUCAACUUGAUUUUGAAGUUAACCUACAUGUACUGCAUUAAUAUGAAAUUUCAUAAGUGACUGAGCUUAAAGAAAAUCACACAUGAAACUGUAACCAGUUUGGGAGACUCAUACAACAGAACAUUUCAAUACCUAUUAAGUUUUUUAUGUAUAUGUUUGACUUUUGGUAAUAUUUUGGAAAUUACUUUAGUAAUUGAGAGACCUCAAUGUUGAAAAUGACAAUUUUGAUAGAGGACAAUUUUAAGAAUAUCAACUUAGUUGUUUAUGAAUCUUUAUCUUUUAAAAUAUUACUGGGUGUCUGAAAGAAUAUUUCAAAAAUUUCUGAAACUAUUUAGAUAUUUAUCAUGUUCUAUGUGUUUAUAUAGGCAAAUAUUUAUACAUGUCAUUUAUGUUAUGCAAGGGUUUAUAUGAAUUUCUAAAAAGAUGUAUAUAUAUGUGUUGAUAAAAUAAGUUCCAAAUUAUUACAGAGUAACAGAAAAUGGGAUCAAUUUAUAUUAAAACAAAUCUGUUAAAAGGGAAUGAAAAGUCAAAAAUUGUAUUUUUUAAAAUAAUUGUGUUAACAUUUUUGUGCUAUUUAGAAAUAUGUACACAAAAAAUAUAAACUUUAAUAUAAGUAUCAAUGUAGU